AGUGAACGCUGGCGGUAGGCCUAACACAUGCAAGUCAAACGGCAGCACAGGAGAGCUUGCUCUCUGGGUGGCGAGUGGCGGACGGGUGAGGAAUACAUCGGAAUCUACUCUGUCGUGGGGGAUAACGUAGGGAAACUUACGCUAAUACCGCAUACGACCUACGGGUGAAAGCAGGGGACCUUCGGGCCUUGCGCGAUGGAAUGAGCCGAUGUCGGAUUAGCGAGUUGGCGGGGUAAAGGCCCACCAAGGCGACGAUCCGUAGCUGGUCUGAGAGGAUGAUCAGCCACACUGGAACUGAGACACGGUCCAGACUCCUACGGGAGGCAGCAGUGGGGAAUAUUGGACAAUGGGCGCAAGCCUGAUCCAGCCAUACCGCGUGGGUGAAGAAGGCCUUCGGGUUGUAAAGCCCUUUUGUUGGGAAAGAAAUCCAGCUGGCUAAUACCCGGUUGGGAUGACGGUACCCAAAGAAUAAGCACCGGCUAACUUCGUGCCAGCAGCCGCCGUAA
Molecule: ribosomal RNA, 506 nt
Filed under: uncultured bacterium
Lineage: Bacteria
Description: partial 16S ribosomal RNA
Rfam family: Bacterial small subunit ribosomal RNA
Source: RNAcentral